GCCAGUGGUGGCGCGCGUUGUUCGGAAUUACUGGGCUUAAAGGGCGAGUAGGCGUCCCGGUAAGUCGGAUGUGGAAUCUUUUUGCUUAACGAAAAAAUUGCAUCUGAAACUAUCGGGAUUGAGUCAGUGAGGGGAGGGCGGAAUUCCUGGUGUAGCGGUGAAAUGCGUAGAUAUCAGGAGGAAGGCCUGUGGCGAAGGCGGCCCUCUGGCACUGUACUGACGCUGAGGCGCGAAAGCGUGGGGAGCAAACAGG
Molecule: ribosomal RNA, 253 nt
Filed under: uncultured bacterium
Lineage: Bacteria
Description: partial 16S ribosomal RNA
Rfam family: Bacterial small subunit ribosomal RNA
Source: RNAcentral